UACGUAGGUGGCAAGCGUUGUCCGGAUUUAUUGGGCGUAAAGGGAACGCAGGCGGUUUUUUAAGUCUGAUGUGAAAGCCUUCGGCUUAACCGAAGAAUAGCAUUGGAAACUGGAAGACUUGAGUGCAGAAGAGGAGAGUGGAAUUCCAUGUGUAGCGGUGAAAUGCGUAGAUAUAUGGAGGAACACCAGUGGCGAAAGCGGCUCUCUGGUCUGUAACUGACGCUGAGGUUCGAAAGCGUGGGUAGCAAAC
This 250-nucleotide ribosomal RNA is filed under the name uncultured bacterium. RNAcentral describes it as "partial 16S ribosomal RNA". It matches the Rfam family "Bacterial small subunit ribosomal RNA", at positions 524 to 773 of the family's 1533-position model. The record is from RNAcentral.